AAAUGGUUAGAACAAGUAAAACCAUAUAAUAUAGAACAUACACAAUUAACCUUAACAUAUAACCAAGAAAAGUUAUUCUUAAAAAGAGCCUUAACAUGAAAUGAAGAUAUAUGUAUUAAUGAAGAUAGUAGUAGAAGGAUAUUACAGUAGAUAUUAUACGCCUAUGAUAGAUACAGGAGCAGAAGCUAAUUUAUGUAGAUAUAAUUGCUUACCAGAAAGCAAAUGGGAUAAACUAAAAACACCAAUAAUAGUUAAAGGAUUUAAUAAUGAAGGAAGCUUAAUUACUUAUAAAGCUAGGAAUGUAAAAAUACAAGUAUGGGAUAAGAUAUUAACAAUAGAAGAAAUUUAUAAUUAUGAAUUAACAUCAAAAGAUAUACUUUUAGGAAUGUCAUUCUUAGAUAAAUUAUACCCACAUAUAAUAACUAGAAUGGAUUGGUGGUUUACAACGCCAUGUAAACUGAAAGUACGAGCAAAAAGAGUUACUAAUAAAAUAAGAAAGAAAACUGAUUGGAUAGAAGGAAGUAAAAAAAUUACACAAAAAUUAGAAAAUAUAAAAAAAUACUGAAGAUACAAUAGAAUUAGUCGUAUUUUCUAAAAAUAAAAAGGAAAUAACUAUAUUUUCAAUAAGUAAGAUAGAAAUAAUUAAGAAAAAAUUAGAACAAUUAUAUAGUGAAGAUCCAUUAAAAGGAUGGGAAAAACAUAAAACCACUAUAAAAAUUGAAUUAAUAGAUAAAAAUAGCAUAAUAACCCAGAAACCAUUAACAUAUAAUUUUGACGAUUUAAAAGAAUUUAAAAUGCAUAUAGAUGAAUUAUUAGAAAAACAAUAUAUACAAAAAAGUAAUAGUAAACAUAAUAGUCCAGCAUUUAUAGUAAAUAAACAUAGUGAACAAAAAAGAGGAAAAAGUAGAAUGGUUAUUGACUAUAGAAAUUUAAAUGCAAAAACUAUAACAUAUAAUUAUCCAAUACCAAAUAAGAUAUUAAAAAUAAGACAAAUCCAAGGAUAUAAUUAUUUUAGCAAAUUUGAUUGUAAAUCAGGAUUUUACCACCUAAAGCUAGAAGAAGAAUCUAAAGAAUUAACCGCAUUUACGGUACCACAAGGAUUUUAUGAAUGGAACGUGUUACCAUUUGGAUAUAAAAAUGCAC
Molecule: long non-coding RNA, 1143 nt
Filed under: Capsicum annuum
Lineage: Eukaryota; Viridiplantae; Streptophyta; Magnoliopsida; Solanales; Solanaceae
Description: long non-coding RNA (CANN_LNC014297)
Source: RNAcentral